CAUUUAGGUGCAGCGCUGGGUUAUAGUUAUAUAGAGGUAGAGCUACUGAUUGGAUGCGGGGGCUUCAUCGCCUACCAAUUCCUGACAAACUCCGAAUGCUAUAUAAUGUUUACCAGCAGUGAGGGCUUGGGUGCUAAGGUCCAAGUCCGAGAGGGAAAGAACCCAGACCAUCAGCUAAGGUCCCCAAAUAUACGCUAAGUUGAAAUAACGCGGUUUGUCUGCCCAGACAGCUAGGAUGUUGGCUUGGAAGCAGCCAUUCAUUUAAAGAGUGCGUAACAGCUCACUAGUCGAGCGGACGAGCAUGGAUAAUAAUCGGGCAUAAGUGUAUUACCGAAGCUAUGGAUGUACGCCUUGCGUACGUGGUAGGGGAGCAUUCUAAACUGGGUCGAAGGUGUGAUGUGAGUCAUGCUGGACUGUUUAGAAAAGAAAAUGUAGGCAUAAGUAACGAUAAUGCGGGCGAGAAACCCGCACACCGAAAAACUAAGGUUUCCGCAGCUAUGCUAAUCAGCUGCGGGUUAGUCUGGUCCUAAGGCGAACCCGAAAGGGACAGUCGAUGGCUAACGGGUUAAUAUUCCCGUACUACUUAUAAUUGUGAUGGAGUGACGGAGUGAUGAAAGCGCCGCGAACUGACGGAAUAGUUCGUUGAAGUACCUACCUAUAGGGCUCGUAGUCAAAUGCGCGAGUCUUGGGGAAAUACGAUAGUACUCGGAGUCUUCGGACAAUGGGAUAGUGCGCCUAAGGGCUUCCAAGAAAAACUUCUAAACUUAGAUUAUACGUACCAGUACCGUAAACCGACACAGGUAGUUGAGGAGAGAAUCCUAAGGUGCUCGAGAGAUUCAUGGCUAAGGAAUUAGGCAAAAUAGACCCGUAACUUCGGGAGAAGGGUCGCCACGCCAUUGGCGUGGCCGCAGUGAAGAGGUCCAGGCGACUGUUUAUCAAAAACACAGGGCUCUGCAAAAUCGUAAGAUGAAGUAUAGGGCCUGACACCUGCCCGGUGCUGGAAGGUUAAGUGGAGAUGUUAUGCGCAAGCAGAAGCAUUGAAAUGAAGCCCCAGUAAACGGCGGCCGUAACUAUAACGGUCCUAAGGUAGCGAAAUUCCUUGUCGGGUAAGUUCCGACCUGCACGAAUGGUGUAACGAUCUGGACACUGUCUCAGCCAUGAGCUCGGUGAAAUUGUAGUAGCGGUGAAGAUGCCGCUUACCCGCAGUGGGACGAAAAGCCCUGUGCACCUUUACAUAGCUUAAUAUUGACCUUGGACACGUGAUGUGUAGGAUAGGUGGGAGACUAUGAAGUGGCGUCGCUAGGCGUUGUGGAGUCAUUGUUGAAAUACCAC
This 1332-nucleotide ribosomal RNA is filed under the name metagenome. RNAcentral describes it as "bacterial LSU rRNA". It matches the Rfam family "Bacterial large subunit ribosomal RNA", at positions 867 to 2203 of the family's 2925-position model. The record is from RNAcentral.